RNAcentral lists this ribosomal RNA (71 nucleotides) under Lysinibacillus composti. RNAcentral's name for it is "partial 16S ribosomal RNA". It matches the Rfam family "Bacterial small subunit ribosomal RNA", at positions 1 to 66 of the family's 1533-position model. The record is from RNAcentral. Lineage: Bacteria; Bacillati; Bacillota; Bacilli; Caryophanales; Bacillaceae.
UUUCUUUUAUGGAGAGUUUGAUCCUGGCUCAGGACGAACGCUGGCGGCGUGCCUAAUACAUGCAAGUCGAG